RNAcentral lists this ribosomal RNA (484 nucleotides) under uncultured bacterium. Its description in RNAcentral is "bacterial SSU rRNA". It matches the Rfam family "Bacterial small subunit ribosomal RNA", at positions 24 to 507 of the family's 1533-position model. The record is from RNAcentral.
UCAGGACGAACGCUGGCGGCGUGCUUAACACAUGCAAGUCGAACGAGAAUCUACGGAUCGAGGAUUCGUCCAAGAGAAGUAGAGGACAGUGGCGGACGGGUGAGUAACGCGUGAGGAACCUGCCUUUCAGAGGGGGACAACAGUUGGAAACGACUGCUAAUACCGCAUAACACAUUGAAGUCGCAUGGCUUUAAUGUCAAAGAUUUAUCGCUGAAAGAUGGCCUCGCGUCUGAUUAGCUAGUUGGUGAGGUAACGGCCCACCAAGGCGACGAUCAGUAGCCGGACUGAGAGGUCGAACGGCCACAUUGGGACUGAGACACGGCCCAGACUCCUACGGGAGGCAGCAGUGGGGGAUAUUGCACAAUGGGGGAAACCCUGAUGCAGCGACGCCGCGUGAGGGAAGACGGUCCUCUGGAUUGUAAACCUCUGUCUUCGGGGACGAAACGAGACGGUACCCGAGGAGGAAGCCACGGCUAACUACGUG